This is a long non-coding RNA of Lycium barbarum (goji berry), 980 nucleotides long. RefSeq lists it as uncharacterized. Lineage: Eukaryota; Viridiplantae; Streptophyta; Magnoliopsida; Solanales; Solanaceae. The record is from RefSeq and is a predicted model, not a curated record. The transcript is spliced from 2 exons.
UUGGUGCUUUUAUAUUCCUUUAGCCCUUUUCCAACUAGAUUCUGAUACCUUGCUUCAUUUUGAUUUCAGGAACAGUGCACUUUGUGUAUAUCAAAUAAGGAUCAGCUAAAAUCGCAGCUGUGUGUGGCCUAACGGUCAUUGGAAUUAGUGAAAGUCACGGGAAAUCAAAAUUUAGAUUCCAGUACCAGUGAAAUAGUUGAGAUGUGACAAAGCUAGUCAUUCACCGCUAUUAUGAAAGAAAGAAAAGGAGGAUCUAAAAGGAGUAAAAGCACAAUUGACUAACUUAUUUUUAGACUAACAAACAUUUCUCUGUUGUGCUUCUUUAUAGGCCCACAGAUAUAUAUAUGAGGAAAUACUCCAUCCAAGCUUUUGAUACACAUACCAAAUAGAAGGCUGAAAAGAAGACAGAAAGUGGAGGGGUUAGAUUAUAUUAUCAUGAGCACUCAAUUGAGUCCAAACAAAUUUGAUAAUAGACAUGCCAAAAGGAUUUGUAAAAGGGUAACAAACUUAAUAUUUUAUGCACUGUGACAAAGACUACUCAUUGCAAAUGAGUAAUUGCAGAAAAUAAUAUUAACCAAAAGAGUAUGUAGCUGUCAAGAAAUAUCAAAUCCGUACAAUGAGCUGCUAGUUGUUAAUCUGAGCUGGAAAUGAGAGGAUCCCCUUGUCGUGUCUUUCUCCUGUUUAAGAUUCUCUGGUCCUAGAGAUUUGAUAUCAAUGGUUAGAGCACAACACGUGAUAUGUAAGUUUUCCUGAUGUGCUAAGUUUUGUAAGUCUCGUAACGAGCGCAACCCUCCUAUUUAAUUGUCAUUUUUUAGUUUGGAACCCUGAAUAGACCGUCAAUGAUAUAGCCAUAGGAAGAUGAGGAUGACUUCUGUUGACAGAGGCGGACCCAGGAUUUUGAGUUCGGGGGUGCUGGAUUCAGGAAUUUUGAGUUCGGGGGUGCUCUAUUAACUAUUUAUAUAUGUUUCCUUUAUAUUUUC